RNAcentral lists this ribosomal RNA (492 nucleotides) under uncultured bacterium. RNAcentral's name for it is "partial 16S ribosomal RNA". It matches the Rfam family "Bacterial small subunit ribosomal RNA", at positions 28 to 507 of the family's 1533-position model. The record is from RNAcentral.
GAUGAACGCUAGCUACAGGCUUAACACAUGCAAGUCGAGGGGAAACGGCAUUAAGUGCUUGCACUUUUUGGACGUCGACCGGCGCACGGGUGAGUAACGCGUAUCCAACCUUCCCAUGACUAAGGGAUAACCUGCCGAAAGGCAGACUAAUACCUUAUGGUCUUCACUGACGGCAUCAGAUGUGAAGUAAUGAUUUAUCGGUUAUGGAUGGGGAUGCGUCUGAUUAGCUUGUUGGCGGGGUAACGGCCCAUCAAGGCAACGAUCAGUAGGGGUUCUGAGAGGAAGGUCCCCCACAUUGGAACUGAGACACGGUCCAAAAUCCUACGGGAGGCAGCAGUGAGGAAUAUUGGUCAAUGGGCGAGAGCCUGAACCAGCCAAGUAGCGUGCAGAAGGACGGCCCUAUGGGUUGUAAACUGCUUUUGUAUGGGGAUAAAGUCAAUCACGUGUGAUUGUUUGCAGGUACCAAAAGAAUAAGGACCGGCUAAUUCCGUG